GGGCUUUGUAUGUUUAAGUGGGCAAUUA
RNAcentral lists this non-coding RNA (28 nucleotides) under Rattus norvegicus (Norway rat). The record is from RNAcentral. Lineage: Eukaryota; Metazoa; Chordata; Mammalia; Rodentia; Muridae.